AAGCGUUAUCCGGAAUCAUUGGGUUUAAAGGGUUCGUAGGCGGGUCAAUCAGUCAGAGGUGAAAUCUGGUCGCUUAACGAUCAAACUGCCUUUGAUACUGUUGGUCUUGAGUCAUAUUGAAGUGGAUAGAAUAUGUAGUGUAGCGGUGAAAUGCAUAGAUAUUACAUAGAAUACCGAUUGCGAAGGCAGUCCACUAAGUAUGUACUGACGCUGAUGAACGAAAGCGUGGGGAGCGAACGGGAUUAGAUACCCCGGUAGUCCACGCCGUAAACGUUGGACACUAGUUGUUGGAAUUUUCAGUGACUAAGCGAAAGUGAUAAGUGUCCCACCUGGGGAGUACGGUCGCAAGAUUGAAACUCAAAGGAAUUGACGGGGGCCCGCACAAGCGGUGGAGCAUGUGGUUUAAUUCGAUGAUACGCGAGGAACCUUACCAGGGCUUAAAUGUAAGUUGCAUUAUCCAGAGAUGGAUAUUUCUUCGGACUACUUACAAGGUGCUGCAUGGUU
Molecule: ribosomal RNA, 504 nt
Filed under: uncultured Flavobacteriaceae bacterium
Lineage: Bacteria; Pseudomonadati; Bacteroidota; Flavobacteriia; Flavobacteriales; Flavobacteriaceae
Description: bacterial SSU rRNA
Rfam family: Bacterial small subunit ribosomal RNA
Source: RNAcentral